Molecule: non-coding RNA, 99 nt
Organism: Pteropus vampyrus (large flying fox)
Lineage: Eukaryota; Metazoa; Chordata; Mammalia; Chiroptera; Pteropodidae
Source: Rfam
UGGGUGGACAUGUCCUCUUGCUUUCAGAAUCAGAUCCUUUGUGAGCACUCUGUCCAUUAAAUACAAAAUUGCCUUCAUCUUGGAUGCGGGUGUAUGGUG